CCCGUUACACUCCCUGAGGUAUAUCCAAGCAUAGAGAGUGUCUGUCUGCAUCAGCUACCACCAGAGUCUCUACAGCCACAUCUCUCAGAGCCGCAGUCACUUCAUUGAUAAACUUCAGGGGGCUGAACUGGAUACUCUUUUAAGGCACUUUGGAUCCAACUCAACUCAUCACACAUUUAUGGUGCCAGAUGCCAAUUUGGAGAAGAAAGGGUCUUGUUCUCAUGAAGCUCACAGAGAAACAGGUAAACAAACAUACACCGAUGGAAAGCACUUGAUCAAGGACCUCCUGGUAGGAGGUUUGAUGGUAAUUAACUGUGUCUAGGGGUAGAUGAGGUUUUGGAGGACUGGAUGUGUGAGUUGAGUUUUGGAAGAUGGAGAAAACAAACUUUUGUUUUUUGUUUCCCGUGG
RNAcentral lists this long non-coding RNA (408 nucleotides) under Cercocebus atys (sooty mangabey). Its description in RNAcentral is "lncRNA (ENSCATG00000045857.1)". The record is from RNAcentral. Lineage: Eukaryota; Metazoa; Chordata; Mammalia; Primates; Cercopithecidae.